Molecule: ribosomal RNA, 262 nt
Filed under: uncultured archaeon
Lineage: Archaea
Description: partial 16S ribosomal RNA
Rfam family: Archaeal small subunit ribosomal RNA
Source: RNAcentral
AGGGUGUAAACGCUGCAGACUUGGUGUUGGAAGUCCUUUGGGGGCAUUCAGUGCCGGAGAGAAGUUGUUAAGUCUGCUACUUGGGGAGUACGUCCGCAAGGAUGAAACUUAAAGGAAUUGGCGGGGGGAGCACCGCAACGGGAGGAGCGUGCGGUUUAAUUGGAUUCAACACCGUAAAACUCACCAGGGAAGACUGUUACAUGAAAGCCGAGAUGAAGACUCUGCUAGAUUUUCAGAGAGGUGGUGCAUGGCGUCAGUGACU